CAAACAGAGAUGUGUUAUACCGACAACAAACUCUCUCCUGCCCAGUAGGAUUCUGGGAAGGCUUAUGAGUCCGACUUUGAACACAAGUUAAAAAAUCCAGCACAUCUUCAAUCACAAACUUGGGCCUAAAUCAUAGCAUGUGUUGUGCGAUCUGAUGUUUGGGUCUCACCGGUGGUCAUCCGGGUCCAUGUGGAUCAGAGACAGUGGGAUUUGA
Pimephales promelas (fathead minnow) is the source of this 214-nucleotide non-coding RNA. Lineage: Eukaryota; Metazoa; Chordata; Actinopteri; Cypriniformes; Leuciscidae. The record is from RefSeq and is a predicted model, not a curated record.